This 73-nucleotide transfer RNA is filed under the name Petromyzon marinus (sea lamprey). RNAcentral describes it as "tRNA-Val (CAC) (tRNA-Val-CAC-20-1, tRNA-Val-CAC-20-2)". It matches the Rfam family "tRNA". From Rfam's summary of the family: Transfer RNA (tRNA) molecules are approximately 80 nucleotides in length. Their secondary structure includes four short double-helical elements and three loops (D, anti-codon, and T loops). Lineage: Eukaryota; Metazoa; Chordata; Hyperoartia; Petromyzontiformes; Petromyzontidae. The record is from RNAcentral.
GUUUCCGUGGUGUAGUGGUUAUCACGUUCGCCUCACACGCGAAAGGUUCAUGGUUUGAAACCGGGUGGAAACA